AUGACUGGCCAAGGGGUCUGGCAGGGAGACCCGAUCUCCCCAUUCUUAUUCAACCUUGUGGUUGAUGUGCUCGCCUCGAUUCUGGACUUGGCCAAGCGUGCGGGUCACAUUAGAGGGGUUUGCCCUCAUUUGGUGACACCUGGAGGUUUAACCCAUAUCCAAUACGCGGACGACACUAUUAUGAUGGUGGAGGGAUCUGAUGAGGAUAUUUAGAACCUCAAAUUCCUCCUCUGCUGCUUCCAGGAAAUGUCGAGCCUCAAAAUAAACUUUGCCAAGAGCGAGGUAAUGGUCAUGGGAUACUCCCAACGGGAGGCCCAACGGAUUGCUUAUCGUCUGAACUGCCUCUUGGGUUCCUUAUGA
Molecule: ribosomal RNA, 360 nt
Filed under: Triticum aestivum (bread wheat)
Lineage: Eukaryota; Viridiplantae; Streptophyta; Magnoliopsida; Poales; Poaceae
Description: partial small subunit ribosomal RNA
Source: RNAcentral